UACAGAGGGUGCAAGCGUUGUUCGGAAUUAUUGGGCGUAAAGGGCGCGUAGGCGGUGCGGUAAGUCUGUAGUGAAAUCUCUGGGCUCAACUCAGAGUCUGCUAUAGAAACUGCCGUGCUUGAGUGUGGGAGAGGUGAGUGGAAUUCCCAGUGUAGAGGUGAAAUUCGUAGAUAUCGGGAGGAACACCUGUGGCGAAAGCGGCGCACUGGACCAUAACUGACGCUGAUGCGCGAAAGCUAGGGGAGCAAACAGG
Molecule: ribosomal RNA, 253 nt
Filed under: uncultured bacterium
Lineage: Bacteria
Description: partial 16S ribosomal RNA
Rfam family: Bacterial small subunit ribosomal RNA
Source: RNAcentral